RNAcentral lists this ribosomal RNA (250 nucleotides) under uncultured bacterium. Its description in RNAcentral is "partial 16S ribosomal RNA". It matches the Rfam family "Bacterial small subunit ribosomal RNA", at positions 524 to 773 of the family's 1533-position model. The record is from RNAcentral.
GACGAGGGAUCCUAGCGUUGUUCGGAAUUAUUGGGCGUAAAGCGUGUGUAGGCGGCUAUCUAAGUCAGGUGUGAAAUCCCCGGGCUCAACCCGGGAAGUGCAUUUGAUACUGGAUAGCUUGAAUAUUGGAGAGGAUAGUAGAAUUCCUGGUGUAGUGGUGAAAUACGUAGAUAUCAGGAGGAAUACCGGUGGCGAAGGCGGCUAUCUGGCCAUAUAUUGACGCUGAGACACGAAAGCGUGGGGAGCAAAC